GAUAACUGGAGCUUGUUCUAAGAUGAAACACUAUUCAGAACGCCGUAAAUAGGAGCCCUAUCAUCUCAUCUGCUGUAGUCCCAGGUUUUACCGUGUUGAUCUUUCGCCGGGGCUUUGACUUGCGUAACGCUCGAGCAAACAAGCCCCCUCCAACGUAUGAGGAGAGCAUCCGCCACUCCAUUGAAGUGCCCUUUGACAUUCUGGGGUCUGUAAUAGACGCCCCUCAUCCCCAGGACAUUUACCCUCCGCACCCUGGCACAGACCUUACCACUCAGUCAGAGGUAACCACUCAGUGCCCGUCCACUCAGGAUACCAACAGUGCCACCCUACCAGUCUGAAUCCUCAGACUCGCUACUGACACACGAUGACAAGGACAACUGGAGUAUUGAUGCUUUUUAUCCACCUUGAUGUGCCAAACUGGUCAGAGGAUAACAGACAGUGGAAAUGCACACAUUCUCAAUAGGUUGAAUCCGAUCCAGCAGCCAAUGUGUUGACUGUACUGUAGGAACACCCUGCAGUGACAGUAUGCUGGAAGAUAGUGACCAAAGAUAGUGAAAUUCUACAUUGCGGGUUACUCCAUACUGACAGUCUUGAAUGUCUAAACACCUCUUGUCAGUUGUGAUUUUAAACUGGAGCCUAAAUAAGAUUGGUGAACUGGGAAGACUUGGAUCGCCAGGAAACCGUCCUGUAGAUGACCAAUACCAUGACUAUAUGUGUCUGAGGUGGCAGGUUCUAAUGCCAAAGUUAACUGUAAGAGGAGACAGGCCAGGUAGAAAGACACUGCAUGGCAAAUGUGCUGCUGAAAAACAAAGACCAUUUUGCUGUGAACAGAAAAAGCACCAAAAAGGGAAGAACGGUCUUUAGAUUUUAAAAAAAAAAUCUCAUAUUUUCUACAUUUGAUCAUGGUACCCCCUUUUUGAUCAUUUUAUGGAUUAAAGUAAUCUGGAUUGUUGUUUUUUGGGGAACUGUGUUGUAGCAAGUCCUAUUCUGAGUAAAAUCACUCUCCUCUUUUAGUGCAAUGUCUGAGCCAAAAACGUAUAAGCGUGAGUUGUAAAAUUCUCCUAUGUCCUACCAUGCUGAGCUUGGGUUGUACAGCUGAGCCAGCUACAACUUGUGUGUUAGUCUUGGAACCUGUGAAGAGUGAGUCAACAACACCAAAUCUGUGUUGGCUCUGGUAACGGGUCUUAAAUGCCCAAUGCAGCCGUUUUUAUAUCAAAUCAUUUAUGGGUAACAAUAAUGUACCUUACUGUAAUGGUUUUCCAUAAAAAUUAUCAAAAUGUUUUUUUUUGUUGCUUUUAAGCGUUAAACGUUUUAACAAGCAACAAUUGUGGUCUGAGUGGGGAGGAGAAAAGGGAAAACUAGUUGUUAUUGUUAGAGAGGUUUGGAACUCUUUGUUAUUAAUCUAUUAGCUCAUUUACCACCUGGUGAUGUCACCAGGCAAGCCGAAACUCCACCCAUGCAAAACCUGCUGUUUAGAAGGUCCUAUGUAGAAUGUAUUUUCAACCAGGAAAUAAUACUGAUCAAAUCUUGUUAGUUUCAUCAGCUGUUGUGCAAUAUGAUGCAAAACACAGAAAACUGAAUUUUGACUGCACGGGGCCUUUAAGAUACAAUUCAGCAUUGGGAAUCUGGGAAGCGUUAACUAAGUAGCUAGCUUUGUUUAUUCAAGAGCUCUGUGAACAGUGAAUGAGAAUAGUUGUGUAUUUUUUUUUAUUAACUGGGCUGCCUGUCUUAACAGUCCCUGCACAAGCUUGAGAAGAAACCAGUAUGAAUGGCAAGAAAAAGUAUGUAAUAUUUCCCUCACAUCAUGUCUGAAACAAAAGUAUGAGGUUUCAGCAGGCGUUCGCAAGUAGAGACAAGUCUAUUCAAAAGACAGCAAUUGUGAAAUACUUGUAUGUUUAUAGAAGUGUAAGAGUGAGAAUUGGAGUUGAUGAUCAUUUAUACACCUGUGUCUAUAAAUUCCUGUCUGUCAUGUAAACUAAUUGAGAUGGUGGUGGCUUCUAGAUAAAGACAUGUUUUACAUAGCGCCUGUGUGCUGUCUCUGUCUGGUCUUAAUGUCCACCAGUUUCCUUUUCACCUCAUUUAACACAUGAUUUACUUAACAAAAGGAACAUCUCAAUAGGUGGUCCAGGUAUGACAUGAC
Molecule: long non-coding RNA, 2140 nt
Filed under: Salmo salar (Atlantic salmon)
Lineage: Eukaryota; Metazoa; Chordata; Actinopteri; Salmoniformes; Salmonidae
Description: lncRNA (ENSSSAG00000094671.1)
Source: RNAcentral